CUGGAGGACGAGGUCACUGGGAUGGAGCUCACAUUGCAGGGUGAAGAACCUGGGAGGUUGCUUCAGGAUUACAAUGCCCUGCAGAAAGGCUCAGUUGAUGCAUCUCCCUACUGUGUCAGUCUGGACCCAGAGAAGAGACUUGUUCAGGCAGGAGAACUCAGAGAGAUGCUCCACAUGGAGGUGGACAGGAUCUGGAAGGACCAAGGUUCUGCCGCUAGGACAGCUUUACGUGUAGAUCCUACAGCUUCUUAUGGUUCACUGUCCACACUGAAACAAUGU
Molecule: long non-coding RNA, 279 nt
Organism: Salvelinus sp. IW2-2015
Lineage: Eukaryota; Metazoa; Chordata; Actinopteri; Salmoniformes; Salmonidae
Source: RefSeq, a predicted model, not a curated record